This is a long non-coding RNA of Maniola jurtina (meadow brown), 96 nucleotides long. RefSeq lists it as uncharacterized. NCBI's taxonomy places the organism in Eukaryota, Metazoa, Arthropoda, Insecta, Lepidoptera, Nymphalidae. The transcript is spliced from 4 exons. The record is from RefSeq and is a predicted model, not a curated record.
UUUCAGUUAUGGUUGCAGGAAACACGGAUGCCCGAAGGGCAUUCCACGCCUUAGCGGUUCGUAUCAGAAGUAUAAUUUAAUUAAAUCCCUCUUAAA